This 301-nucleotide ribosomal RNA is filed under the name uncultured bacterium. RNAcentral's name for it is "partial 16S ribosomal RNA". It matches the Rfam family "Bacterial small subunit ribosomal RNA", at positions 509 to 807 of the family's 1533-position model. The record is from RNAcentral.
CAGUCGCCGCGGGAAUACGAAGGGUGCAAGCGUUAAUCGGAAUUACUGGGCGUAAAGCGUGGGUAGGCGGUUUGUUAAGUCUGUUGUGAAAUCCCCGGGCUCAACCUGGGAAUGGCAAUGGAUACUGGCAAGCUAGAGUGUGUCAGAGGAUGGUGGAAUUCCCGGUGUAGCGGUGAAAUGCGUAGAGAUCGGGAGGAACAUCAGUGGCGAAGGCGGCCAUCUGGGACAACACUGACGCUGAGGCACGAAAGCGUGGGGAGCAAACAGGAUUAGAUACCCGUGUAGUCCCUGUCUCUUAUAC